UACAGAGGUCUCAAGCGUUGUUCGGAUUCAUUGGGCGUAAAGGGUGCGUAGGUGGCGCGGUAAGUCGGGUGUGAAGUUUCGGAGCUUAACUCCGAAACUGCAUUCGAUACUGCCGUGCUUGAGGACUGGAGAGGAGACUGGAAUUUACGGUGUAGCAGUGAAAUGCGUAGAGAUCGUAAGGAAGACCAGUGGCGAAGGCGGGUCUCUGGACAGUUCCUGACACUGAGGCACGAAGGCCAGGGGAGCAAACGGG
This 253-nucleotide ribosomal RNA is filed under the name uncultured bacterium. RNAcentral's name for it is "partial 16S ribosomal RNA". It matches the Rfam family "Bacterial small subunit ribosomal RNA", at positions 524 to 776 of the family's 1533-position model. The record is from RNAcentral.